This 445-nucleotide ribosomal RNA is filed under the name uncultured bacterium. RNAcentral's name for it is "SSU rRNA". It matches the Rfam family "Bacterial small subunit ribosomal RNA", at positions 26 to 518 of the family's 1533-position model. The record is from RNAcentral.
AGAACGAACGCUGGCGGCAGGCUUAACACAUGCAAGUCGAACGCCCCGCAAGGGGAGUGGCAGACGGGUGAGUAACGCGUGGGAAUCUACCUGGUUCUACGGAAUAACUGAGGGAAACUUCAGCUAAUACCGUAUACGCCCUAAGGGGGAAAGAUUUAUCGGUGCCAGAUGAGCCCGCGUUGGAUUAGCUAGUUGGUGGGGUAAUGGCCUACCAAGGCGACGAUCCAUAGCUGGUCUGAGAGGAUGAUCAGCCACACUGGGACUGAGACACGGCCCAGACUCCUACGGGAGGCAGCAGUGGGGAAUAUUGGACAAUGGGCGAAAGCCUGAUCCAGCCAUGCCGCGUGAGUGAUGAAGGCCUUAGGGUUGUAAAGCUCUUUCAGUGGGGAAGAUAAUGACGGUACCCACGAGAAGAAGCCCCGGCUAACUUCGCGCCAGCAGCCGC